Molecule: unclassified non-coding RNA, 339 nt
Filed under: soil metagenome
Description: partial contains 5.8S ribosomal RNA, internal transcribed spacer 2, and large subunit ribosomal RNA
Rfam family: 5.8S ribosomal RNA (bases 1-120)
Source: RNAcentral
GAUGAAGAACGUAGCGAAAUGCGAUAAGUAAUGCGAAUUGCAGAAUUCCGUGAGUCAUCGAAUCUUUGAACGCACAUUGCGCCCUCUGGUAUUUCGGAGGGCAUGCCUGUCUGAGCGUCAUUGUCAACCCUCAAGCUCAGCUUGCUGUUGGGUCCCCGUCGUUGCUUUAACGGCGGACCCGAAAGGUAAUGGCAGAGUCCGUGAGACCCUAGACGCAGCGAGCUUCUAGCACGCGUCUGGACGUUUUUCGGGCUCGGUCUUAACUAGAUGAUAACUUCCGAUUGACCUCAGAUCAGGUAGGGAUACCCGCUGAACUUAAGCAUAUCAAUAAGCGGAGGA